GCUUCUCUGGCGCAACAGGUAACGCGGCUGAUUUGUAAUCAGCGGAUUGUCGGUUCGAAUCCGGCGGGAAGCU
RNAcentral lists this transfer RNA (73 nucleotides) under Lachnospiraceae bacterium. RNAcentral describes it as "tRNA-Thr". It matches the Rfam family "tRNA". Rfam says of the family: Transfer RNA (tRNA) molecules are approximately 80 nucleotides in length. Their secondary structure includes four short double-helical elements and three loops (D, anti-codon, and T loops). Further hydrogen bonds mediate the characteristic L-shaped molecular structure. tRNAs have two regions of fundamental functional importance: the anti-codon, which is responsible for specific mRNA codon recognition, and the 3' end, to which the tRNAs corresponding amino acid is attached (by aminoacyl-tRNA synthetases). tRNAs cope with the degeneracy of the genetic code in two manners: having more than one tRNA (with a specific anti-codon) for a particular amino acid; and 'wobble' base-pairing, i.e. permitting non-standard base-pairing at the 3rd anti-codon position. Lineage: Bacteria; Bacillati; Bacillota; Clostridia; Lachnospirales; Lachnospiraceae. The record is from RNAcentral. RNAcentral also lists the same sequence under 1 other name.